ACUCCUGCGGGAGGCAGCAGUGGGGAAUAUUGGACAAUGGGCGCAAGCCUGAUCCAGCCAUGCCGCGUGAGUGAUGAAGGCCCUAGGGUUGUAAAGCUCUUUCACCGGAGAAGAUAAUGACGGUAUCCGGAGAAGAAGCCCCGGCUAACUUCGUGCCAGCAGCCGCGGUAAUACGAAGGGGGCUAGCGUUGUUCGGAAUUACUGGGCGUAAAGCGCACGUAGGCGGAUCGAUCAGUCAGGGGUGAAAUCCCAGGGCUCAACCCUGGAACUGCCUUUGAUACUGUCGAUCUGGAGUAUGGAAGAGGUGAGUGGAAUUCCGAGUGUAGAGGUGAAAUUCGUAGAUAUUCGGAGGAACACCAGUGGCGAAGGCGGCUCACUGGUCCAUUACUGACGCUGAGGUGCGAAAGCGUGGGGAGCAAACAGGAUUAGAAACCCUAGUAGUCCCAUGAU
This 450-nucleotide ribosomal RNA is filed under the name uncultured organism. Its description in RNAcentral is "partial 16S ribosomal RNA". It matches the Rfam family "Bacterial small subunit ribosomal RNA", at positions 335 to 801 of the family's 1533-position model. The record is from RNAcentral.